Molecule: unclassified non-coding RNA, 333 nt
Filed under: soil metagenome
Description: partial contains 5.8S ribosomal RNA, internal transcribed spacer 2, and large subunit ribosomal RNA
Rfam family: 5.8S ribosomal RNA (bases 1-120)
Source: RNAcentral
GAUGAAGAACGUAGCGAAAUGCGAUACGUAAUGUGAAUUGCAGAAUUCAGUGAAUCAUCGAAUCUUUGAACGCACAUUGCGCCUGCCAGCACUCUGGCAGGCAUGCCUGUUCGAGCGUCAUUUCAACCAUCAAGCCCUAGGCUUGCGUUGGAGCCCUGCGGCUGCCGCAGGCCCCUAAAAGCAGUGGCGGGCUCGCUAUCACACCGAGUGCAGUAGAUUACUCUUCGCUCAGGGCGUGUGGCGGGUUCCAGCCGUGAAACCCCUACUUCUCAAGGUUGACCUCGGAUCAGGUAGGAAUACCCGCUGAACUUAAGCAUAUCAAUAAGCGGAGGA